CUGAGGGAUCUCAUGAGAUUCCUCUAUGGAAUCCCGGGAAUACAGAGGACGGGCCUGAGGGAUCUCAUGAUGUUCCUGAAGGAUCUCCUGAU
Molecule: long non-coding RNA, 92 nt
Organism: Nanorana parkeri
Lineage: Eukaryota; Metazoa; Chordata; Amphibia; Anura; Dicroglossidae
Exons: 3
Source: RefSeq, a predicted model, not a curated record